Molecule: RNA transcript, 3081 nt
Organism: Dipodomys ordii (Ord's kangaroo rat)
Lineage: Eukaryota; Metazoa; Chordata; Mammalia; Rodentia; Heteromyidae
Gene: Gnpda2
Gene name: glucosamine-6-phosphate deaminase 2
Exons: 8
Source: RefSeq, a predicted model, not a curated record
CGCGGCGGCCCUUUCCUGCGCGCGGGUCUGCAUCCGGGUCUUUGGGCUGGGUGCACCCCGCGUCGGCUGGGGGCGUUCGCAGGUUGCCAGGUGUCCGUCGGCAGUUCCAGCUGUUCCGGCAUCCCGAGAGUCUGUGUGUCCGCAGGUUUGAAAACCAUAGGUUACCGUAAUGAGACUUGUCAUUCUGGAUAACUAUGACUUGGCCAGUGAAUGGGCAGCCAAAUACAUCUGUAAUCGUAUCAUUCAAUUCAAACCUGGACAGGACAGAUAUUUCACACUGGGUUUACCAACAGGGAGUACACCUCUAGGAUGUUACAAAAAACUAAUAGAAUAUCACAAGAAUGGAGACCUUUCUUUUAAAUAUGUGAAGACUUUUAAUAUGGAUGAAUAUGUGGGACUUCCAAGAAAUCAUCCUGAAAGCUAUCACUCUUAUAUGUGGAAUAAUUUUUUUAAGCACAUUGAUAUAGAUCCUAACAAUGCUCAUAUCCUUGAUGGGAAUGCUGCAGAUUUACAAGCAGAAUGUGAUGCAUUUGAAAAGAAAAUAAAAGAUGCAGGAGGAAUAGAUCUUUUUGUUGGAGGAAUAGGUCCAGAUGGUCAUAUUGCUUUCAAUGAGCCGGGUUCCAGUUUAGUAUCAAGGACAAGAUUAAAGACACUAGCAAUGGACACCAUUUUGGCAAAUGCUAAAUAUUUUGAUGGAGAUUUAUCAAAAGUACCAACUAUGGCUCUAACUGUUGGUGUGGGGACAGUGAUGGAUGCUCGAGAGGUAAUGAUCCUUAUAACAGGUGCACACAAGGCAUUUGCCCUGUACAAAGCCAUAGAAGAAGGAGUCAGCCACAUGUGGACAGUUUCAGCUUUUCAGCAGCAUCCUCGAACUAUUUUUGUGUGUGAUGAAGAUGCUACUUUAGAAUUAAGGGUUAAAACUGUGAAAUACUUUAAAGGACUGAAGCUGUACCAAUGUUAUAGCAAUUUUUAAGCCCAUCAAUGGAGUAUAGUAGAGGAAUUGCCAGAUCAAAAUCAAUGUAAACUUUUAGGUGUAAUGUAUUUAUUAACCAAGUCGUACCCAAUUUUGCUAUCCUAACAGAUUAAAGACAAGAACUUAAUCUAGCUUUCGUUAUUUCUAAAAUACCUGUGUACAUUCUAGAGCUAUACUAUUUAUUUAUUUAGAAGUAACCAUUCAGAGCAUUUCUAUUUGUAUUUUUUUCAAUAAACUUGACUUGUUUUGUAACAGAUGGACCAAAUAUACCUAAAAAAAUCUGUUUUUUUUUCUGAAGGAAAUGAGAUAGGUCAAAAUUAACACAACUGGAACUGUGGCUUUUUUUCUUUAAGGUUUAAUGCAUGUGCACAAUAAACUUGUGGAUCCACUAUUCAGUAUGAAAGAAGGAAUUUGAAGGAGACUGGAGCAAAAUUCUGCUUGAAAGAAAGAACACUUUUUUAUUACAGAAAUUUUCUGCUAUGCAAUAUAAUUAUGGGAAAUUUUGAAGAUUGCCAUUUAAAAAUACAUGUUAAACAUUCCAUCUUUAGAUUUAGAAGCAGUUUGUGCUUAAUUUGGUUGGCUGUUUCUUAGAAAGUACAGAAGCUCUAUGGCCUCCUGAAAAAAUAGCAUAGAAAUGAAUGUCUGCCUAUUUAAAGCUUGUUUUAGAAAGAUUCUGCACAUCAAGUGUGUCAUAGAUGUCUAUUUUUUAAUUUUGAAAUGACAUUCCACAUCUUUCAGAUGUCAAAUCCCUAUUAUUACAGACCUUUGCUUUUGGAAGAAGCCUGUAUUUUCUGUGAGUCACACGUUUCUGCACGUGAUUGCCUUAGUCAUCUUUCUGUAGUAGUAACCUGGACAUCAGAAGUCCUGUUAUACAUUGCUGGUUAAGGAAAUCUGAAGAGAUAACAGUGCCUAAAAGUAAAGUUUACAUCUUUUUGGAAAGUGUGUGUAAAUGUGUUUUUGUGUACCUUCUAUUGCACUUUUUUACAAAUACGCUUAUUUUUAUUUAAUGGUCUCAUAUCCUUAAUAUGAGUAUCUUGGCAGUUAUGAGCUUUAUACCUAGUUAGUUUCAAACUGAAGAUUAUUCUUUUGAAAAGUAUUUUGAUUAUUGUUAAACUUCAUUAGCAGCUUUUGUUUCAUAUAUGUGAACUGUCUAAAGUGAUAAAAUGAAGUGUAUAUAAAAGGAAUCACUGUAUACUAUUUAAGAUUGUCCUAACAAUUUGCAUAAUUAAAUUGCAAAUAAAAUUAUAUCGUUUUCUAUCUUUAACUCAAAUAAAGCUUACAACAAUAAUAAAAGAUUAUUUAAAUUUUAUUUGCAGAAGUGAAAUAAAGAACACAUGCAUUUGGGAGAUUCCAACUAUUAAUAGUCCCUUUUCAGGUUCAUCUAUGCAGUAGCCUUCUGGAAAGCAAAACACAUUAAGAAUCUCAAUGCAUUGAAAAUAAAGCUGAGCCCUCCUAUAUGCACUAGCCGAGUUCUUCUUUCCAGUAGGUGCUUAGGCCAUUCUGUCAAGAGCUUUGGCCAAAUAUUAAAGAAUCAACUGUUGUGUUCUGCUUCAUCAUCCUGUCUGACCCCUUUCUAACCAGCAUUCUUGCCAAGCUAUUACCUGUAACUUUUCUCAUCACUAUGACAAAUACCUGGCAGAAACAAAGAGAGUGUGUUCAGCUCAUGGUUUUAGUACAUCAUGGUGUAGGAAGGGUGUGGUAGAACACAGAAUUUGGGGACCAGGAAGCAGAAAAAAUGCCCGUGUCCUUGUAAAUAACUAAAAUUGUUUACUAAAAACAACUCUUACAACCAUAAGUUAUAUAAUAAGUGUAAAAGCUAUAGGUGUCUUUUGGUAUGCUACUGUGUUGCUUCUGAGAUUUAAAGGUAUAAGAUCUCUUUCUCAUUAUAGCAAUGAUUAUGUUCAGGUCCUCCUCAAGUACUUCAGCAGAACUGUUCUCUGGCCAUUACAGCUCCCUAACUCAGAAGAAACAAUGCUUUAAGAAACUUAGAAGCCUAUGAAAGACAUUUCACAAGGAGCAGUAAAGUUGUUUACCUUUGAAGAACGAAACCAUUGUUCCAAGUUCUAUUUGUCAGUGAAAUCUAGACAAUAAAUGUCAGCUUCUUUCCA